GCCCUUGCGGAUCCGCGGCCGCUGCAGAGUUUGAUCCUGGCUCAGAAUCAACGCUGGCGGCGCGCUUAACACAUGCAAGUCGCACGAGAAAGGGGAGCAAUCCCUGAGUAAAGUGGCGCACGGGUGAGUAACACGUGGGUUAUCCGCCCUCUGGUGGGGAAUAACCCUGGGAAACCGGGGCUAAUACCGCAUAAGUCCGAGAGGAGAAAGCCGAAAGGCGCCAGAGGAGGAGCCCGCGGCCGAUUAGCUAGUUGGUGAGGUAAUGGCUCACCAAGGCGACGAUCGGUAGCCGGCCUGAGAGGGCACACGGCCACACUGGCACUGAAACACGGGCCAGACUCCUACGGGAGGCAGCAGUGGGGAAUCUUGCACAAUGGGGGAAACCCUGAUGCAGCGACGCCGUGUGAGCGAUGAAGCCCCUCGGGGUGUAAAGCUCUUUCGGCAGGGACGAUGAUGACGGUACCUGCAGAAGAAGCUGCGGCUAACUACGUGCCAACAGCCCCGGUAAUACGUAGGCAGCAAGCGUUGUUCGGAAUUACUUGGCGUAAAGCGUGCGUAAGCGGUUUGCUAAAUUUUGUGUGAAAUCUCCCCGCUCAACUGUGAGAGGUGCCCCCAAAACUUGCCCCCUAAAGUUCCGGAGAAG
This 643-nucleotide ribosomal RNA is filed under the name uncultured bacterium. RNAcentral's name for it is "bacterial SSU rRNA". It matches the Rfam family "Bacterial small subunit ribosomal RNA", at positions 1 to 657 of the family's 1533-position model. The record is from RNAcentral.